AUGUUGAAAGGGUCAGAGCCGACCGUACCAGUGUCCCGGGUGGCGACCAAAACCCAGAGAUGUGGAGUUGCCAGACGUCGUAUCACAUCGCGAUUUAAGACUUUUAUGUUUUCACACCCAAGCAAGCCUGGGCAGUUGACCCAUCCUGCCCCCAAGCCCCCUACCCUUCAUAAUGAGAAGAAAUAUUUACUUUCACUCCACGGCUCAGGGAGUACCUAAGCUUUGGCAGCGGCCUUGUAAUGGGUCAGAGUGCGGGCGGAAGGCGCUAGUCCACCUGGGCAUCCAGUAAUGAGGCAGCCAGUCGGCGCAGCUCGGGUAGUGGCGUUCAAAGAUCUGACGGUAGUAAUAGCCUUCUUUCGUUUUGGGAGUACUGACAGGAAGUUUUGGGCUGCACUUGCCAUCGCUGCAUCAUCAACCUGAUGGUCAAUGUAUUCCUGUAAAAUCCUAAACCAGGAAUUCUUAACUGAGGUUAUUCCAUCACUGAAGGCUUCUUUUGGUCACCAGAGGAUCUCUUUAGGUAUCAGACUGGAGUCCUCAAACGUCUCUCUCAGGAGAUGUUUUUCUAUCCCGUUCUCGGGGAUUCCCAUAUCUGGUGGCAGAGACAAGUAACAGGAAGAAAAUCGAUGAUCCAGGAAGGGGACUCUCAGUUCAAGGCCAUGGGCAGCAGUAGUUCGAUCUGCUAAGAGAACAUCAAACAAAUAGAGUCCCUUCAAAUAGAAGCCGCUCACUCUCCUCCUCGGAUAUGUAACCCUGUGUAAGUUCAUCUGGACCUUCUCCAGAGAAGAUCACCACGCUAUCCGUGUUCUUCCGAAUGUACUUCGAAAUUAAGUACAUACCUACUGAAGCACGGACUGUUGUAAUACCAUAAUAUCAAGGAAAUGGCAAGGAAAUGUAGUAUUUCCUUAAUGUAAUAUCAAGGAAAAUAGGACUUCAUCCAGGACCUGAAUGCCUUCCUCAGAGUUAAAGAGGACUUCAUGGUGUUCGCUCGCAAUGAUUUGCCACCUUUCUAGCAGCUAGUAAAUCGGGACUGUCUUCCAUGCCAAUCGCAAAUGUCUGGAGAGGAUACUGUACUUGGGCCUCUUUUAGCUGCUUCUACAGGAUGGCAGCAACCAAACUGGAAACCAAGCCACCUGAUAAAAGGCAGCCAAUCCUUCUGUCCAUUAUCAAAUGUUUCUUAAUGGCAUUGUCAAAAAGGAUUCGUAGGUUGUUCUUCACAGUUUCUAUCUCAAAACCUGGGAAGAGUUUCUCCACGCUGUCACACAGGCCAUGCAGAGGCUCAUCUCUACAGCGAUGAUAGUUAAACAUUUCCACUGAUGCUACUUUGCCAUUUGGCUUUAAAUCGAAAACUUCAUAGUGUCCUGGGAGAAAAGGCUCCACUUUUUAAAAAGGAGUCAUAGAGUGCUUCAAGGUAAUGAGACCUUUAGCUUCUGAACACAUGGCCAAAAGUCCAUCUUCUGUCCCGGCUUUAAACAAAGGUCUGACUCCAUAGGUAUCUCUGCACAAGAACACUUUCUUAUUGACAGUAUCCAGUAAAAUAAAUGCAAAUACCCCAUACAAACUGUUUGCUCAAUUCCUCAUUUGUCAUAAAGAUGAAAGAUUAUCUCACCAUCCACUUUGGUCUGGUAUUCAAAUUCAAAAUGGUGUUGCAGCUCCUUGUGGCUGUAGAUUUCACUGUUGUAACAGAGCCACAAGUAAGGAUAUUACUUCACUCAAAUUGGCUGCAUUCCAAACAGCUGAUCAACCACCGCAAACCAGUGAAAUCCAAAGCAGCAGUUGGUGUAUCCACUGACAUUCUCAAAAAGAAAUGCAUCUGGACCUCUGUGCGCAAUCUUCAUAGCACUCAGACACUGAACAGAAAGGCAGUCAUCGCUGCCAAAGAGGGCCCAAAUGCCACACAUGGUGCAAUGGAGCUACGGGCUCUCUCCAAGUGACUUAUUCAAAUACGAUCACAGAAAUUCUGGGAUCCAGUAGGGUGGGCGGGUGUAAGGUGAGCAGGCUGCGACUUGCGGGCUCUGCACACUUUAAAUGGAUUAAUUUUAUGGUAUGUGAAUUACAUCUCAAUAAAGCUGUUUUAU
Long non-coding RNA from Phocoena sinus (vaquita), 2075 nucleotides. The record is from Ensembl. NCBI's taxonomy places the organism in Eukaryota, Metazoa, Chordata, Mammalia, Artiodactyla, Phocoenidae.